AAGUGCGAUCUAAGUACCAAUUAACUUAGCCUAAUGCUAGCAAAAUAAUGAUAAAUAAUAGGUGUUAACAUUUACAUGAUUAAAUAUUUUAUCCUUAGCACUUAUUAUAAUUUUUAUCAUUAUAUAAAUUCAUCUCUUCCUAGCUGCAGAACAGAGCCCAGAUUCAGCCGUUCGCAAGCACCUCAGCAUCCUUGCCGCGUCCGUGAGCCGCAUCAACCCUCUCAAGACCCGUCCGCGUCUUACGAUCCGUGAUCGAAUCAUGCCGCGAUCAGCCUUUCUCCCAGCUCCAACGAUGAAGCCCAGCCAUUCAGCAUCCCAUGAAACAUCUCCCAGCCAUGUUUGCCUCUUCCCUUGUUUCUUCCCAAAAUAGAGCAUACGAAUCUCAGCGUCCGCGUGCAGCCAUCAUCUGCGAGCAUCUCCGCAUGCCAUCCAGAUCCUCACGAGUCCACG
Molecule: long non-coding RNA, 450 nt
Filed under: Phoenix dactylifera (date palm)
Lineage: Eukaryota; Viridiplantae; Streptophyta; Magnoliopsida; Arecales; Arecaceae
Description: long non-coding RNA (PDAC_LNC012288)
Source: RNAcentral